CAGUGAUCUUAGCUUGACAGAUGCUGAAAAGACCAAACUUUACCAACAGAAGAGCAGUGAGAUUAGUAAGAGUGCUUCUGACACUCAAAGUGUAGAACAGGGUGACUGAGCAACAGGUGAACAUUCGAGCUCAGGUAUACUUACGAAUGAGAGUUGGCCAUUUGGCAUGUCUAACUCCUUUGGUAAUUAACAGCUAAUUGUUCUGUGGAUCUCAUGCAGCUGUUUCUUGGAGGAAGAGAGAAACCUGUUGUGUAAAGAAGGUGUAAUGGUGUCUGGUGUCUUUUCCCUCUGGUAGAGAUUGAUGCUGACAUGCACAUGGAUAAAGGUUAUCGAAAGCGAGGACUGGAUGAGAGCAGCUCUUUGAGCACAAUGAACGCUCCAGACAAGAAAGGAGGUUACUGCAUCAAUUAUUACUGGGGCUAUUCCUGUACCCGCAGUGAGUAUACUGUUGUUUUUUAACAAAUUCCCACGACUAUACCAAGACUAAAUGGAUGAACAGUUUCAAAACUUUGAAUCCCAUCUCUUAAAACCUUUCAUUUCUUAUUUCAUGUUUGAAUUUCUCACACAAUGCUGUCUCUCUAAUUGUCUUUUUUUGCCCCUCAACAGGAAUUAGAUGCUAUCGGAGAUGUAAGUAUUCCCUUCUGUAUUUCUGUGCUUUG
RNAcentral lists this long non-coding RNA (659 nucleotides) under Lepisosteus oculatus (spotted gar). RNAcentral describes it as "lncRNA (ENSLOCG00000021329.1)". The record is from RNAcentral. Lineage: Eukaryota; Metazoa; Chordata; Actinopteri; Semionotiformes; Lepisosteidae.